This 490-nucleotide ribosomal RNA is filed under the name uncultured bacterium. Its description in RNAcentral is "partial 16S ribosomal RNA". It matches the Rfam family "Bacterial small subunit ribosomal RNA", at positions 30 to 507 of the family's 1533-position model. The record is from RNAcentral.
AUUGAACGCUGGCGGCAGGCCUAACACAUGCAAGUCGAACGGUAACAGGAAGCAGCUUGCUGCUUCGCUGACGAGUGGCGGACGGGUGAGUAAUGUCUGGGAAACUGCCUGAUGGAGGGGGAUAACUACUGGAAACGGUAGCUAAUACCGCAUAACGUCGCAAGACCAAAGAGGGGGACCUUAGGGCCUCUUGCCAUCGGAUGUGCCCAGAUGGGAUUAGCUAGUAGGUGGGGUAACGGCUCACCUAGGCGACGAUCCCUAGCUGGUCUGAGAGGAUGACCAGCCACACUGGAACUGAGACACGGUCCAGACUCUUACGGGAGGCAGCAGUGGGGAAUAUUGCACAAUGGGCGCAAGCCUGAUGCAGCCAUGCCGCGUGUAUGAAGAAGGCCUUCGGGUUGUAAAGUACUUUCAGCGGGGAGGAAGGGAGUAAAGUUAAUACCUUUGCUCAUUGACGUUACCCGCAGAAGAAGCACCGGCUAACUCCGUG